RNAcentral lists this unclassified non-coding RNA (335 nucleotides) under Hevea brasiliensis (rubber tree). Lineage: Eukaryota; Viridiplantae; Streptophyta; Magnoliopsida; Malpighiales; Euphorbiaceae. The record is from RNAcentral.
CUCCGACAGCGUGCCGUGCCACGCCAGCGCUGCACGCGCACCGGAAAACCGUCCCGCCGAAUAGCUGGCAAUGGCCGCUGGCCGCCAGAACCAUUCUUCAAGAAAAUGGUCGGUGAGAUUCUUCAGGCCCGGCUGAAGCCCCCAAUUGUAUUCGCCGAUGACGAACACAAAGCCGUCGGCCGCGAUGAUUUUCUGCGCAAGUUCUUCCAGCGCGGCGGGCGCGGGCCCCCUCCGCUGGGCCUUCUAAAACCCAGCCCGCACUCACACAANNNNNGCAUCGAUCAGUUCGACGUCGGCGCCGCGCUCGCGUAACCCCUUCACGAUGAAAUCCGCAA